ACGCUCGACACCUACGGGGGGCAGCAGUGGGGAAUAUUGGGCAAUGGGCGCAAGCCUGACCCAGCAACGCCGCGUGAAGGAAGAAGGCCCUCGGGUUGUAAACUUCUUUUGACAGGGACGAAACAAAUGACGGUACCUGUCGAAUAAGCCACGGCUAACUACGUGCCAGCAGCCGCGGUAAUCUGAGCGGGCUGGCAAGGC
Molecule: ribosomal RNA, 201 nt
Filed under: uncultured bacterium
Lineage: Bacteria
Description: partial 16S ribosomal RNA
Rfam family: Bacterial small subunit ribosomal RNA
Source: RNAcentral